This 270-nucleotide ribosomal RNA is filed under the name uncultured archaeon. RNAcentral's name for it is "partial 16S ribosomal RNA". It matches the Rfam family "Archaeal small subunit ribosomal RNA", at positions 477 to 747 of the family's 1478-position model. The record is from RNAcentral.
CAGCACCUCAAGUGGUCAGGAUGAUUAUUGGGCCUAAAGCAUCCGUAGCCGGCUCUGUAAGUUUUCGGUUAAAUCUGUACGCUCAACGUACAGGCUGCCGGGAAUACUGCAGAGCUAGGGAGUGGGAGAGGUAGACGGUACUCGGUAGGAAGGGGUAAAAUCCUUUGAUCUAUUGAUGACCACCUGUGGCGAAGGCGGUCUACCAGAACACGUCCGACGGUGAGGGAUGAAAGCUGGGGGAGCAAACCGGAUUAGAUACCCGAGUAGUCA